This 209-nucleotide ribosomal RNA is filed under the name uncultured eukaryote. Its description in RNAcentral is "partial 18S ribosomal RNA". It matches the Rfam family "Eukaryotic small subunit ribosomal RNA", at positions 604 to 819 of the family's 1831-position model. The record is from RNAcentral.
UUAAAGUUGUUGCAGUUAAAAAGCUCGUAGUUGAACCUUGGGCCUGGUUGGCCGGUCCGCCUCACCGCGUGCACUGGUCCGACCGGGUCUUUCCUUCUAGGGAACCUCAUGCCUUUCAUUAGGUGUGCUGGGGAACUAGGACUUUUACUUUGAAAAAAUUAGAGUGUCCAAAGCAGGCCUAUGCUCGAAUACAUUAGCAUGGAAUAAUA